UGCUCAUACCAUGUUACUUUU
Molecule: non-coding RNA, 21 nt
Filed under: Caenorhabditis elegans
Lineage: Eukaryota; Metazoa; Nematoda; Chromadorea; Rhabditida; Rhabditidae
Source: RNAcentral